RNAcentral lists this transfer RNA (73 nucleotides) under Acidimicrobiia bacterium. RNAcentral describes it as "tRNA-Phe". It matches the Rfam family "tRNA". Rfam says of the family: Transfer RNA (tRNA) molecules are approximately 80 nucleotides in length. Their secondary structure includes four short double-helical elements and three loops (D, anti-codon, and T loops). Further hydrogen bonds mediate the characteristic L-shaped molecular structure. tRNAs have two regions of fundamental functional importance: the anti-codon, which is responsible for specific mRNA codon recognition, and the 3' end, to which the tRNAs corresponding amino acid is attached (by aminoacyl-tRNA synthetases). tRNAs cope with the degeneracy of the genetic code in two manners: having more than one tRNA (with a specific anti-codon) for a particular amino acid; and 'wobble' base-pairing, i.e. permitting non-standard base-pairing at the 3rd anti-codon position. Lineage: Bacteria; Bacillati; Actinomycetota; Acidimicrobiia. RNAcentral also lists the same sequence under 2 other names. The record is from RNAcentral.
GGCCAGGUAGCUCAGUUGGCAGAGCACAGGUCUGAAAAACCUGGGGUCGGCAGUUCGAUUCUGCCCCUGGCCA